RNAcentral lists this ribosomal RNA (433 nucleotides) under uncultured bacterium. Its description in RNAcentral is "partial 16S ribosomal RNA". It matches the Rfam family "Bacterial small subunit ribosomal RNA", at positions 29 to 507 of the family's 1533-position model. The record is from RNAcentral.
AACGAACGCUGGCGGCAUGCCUAACACAUGCAAGUCGAACGAGACCUUCGGGUCUAGUUGCGCACGGGUGCGUAACGCGUGGGAACCUGCCCUUAGGUUCGGAAUAACUCCCCGAAAGGGGUGCUAAUACCGGAUAAUGUCUUCGGACCAAAGAUUUAUCGCCUUUGGAUGGGCCCGCGUUGGAUUAGCUAGUUGGUAGGGUAAAAGCCUACCAAGGCGACGAUCCAUAGCUGGUCUGAGAGGAUGAUCAACCACACUGGGACUGAGACACGGCCCAGACUCCUACGGGAAGCAGCAGUGGGGAAUAUUGGACAAUGGGCGAAAGCCUGAUCCAGCAAUGCCGCGUGAGUGAUGAAGGCCUUAGGGUUGUAAAGCUCUUUUACCCGGGAUGAUAAUGACAGUACCGGGAGAAUAAGCUCCGGCUAACUCCGUG